CCUACGGGAGGCAGCAGUGGGGAAUCUUGCGCAAUGGGCGAAAGCCUGACGCAGCAACGCCGCGUGCGGGAAGAAGGCUUUCGGGCUGUAAACCGCUUUCAGCAGGAACGAAAAUGACGGUACCUGCAGAAGAAGGAGCGGCCAACUAUGUGCCAGCAGCCGCGGUGAUACAUAGGCUUCAAGCGUUGUCCGGAUUUAUUGGGCGUAAAGAGUUCGUAGGCGGUCGAGUAAGUCGGGUGUGAAAAUUCUGGGCUCAACCCAGAGACGCCACCCGAUACUGCUUGACUUGAGUUCGAUAGGGGAGUGGGGAAUUCCUAGUGUAGCGGUGAAAUGCGCAGAUAUUAGGAGGAACACCGGUGGCGAAGGCGCCACUCUGGAUCGAUACUGACGCUGAGGAACGAAAGCAUGGGUAGCAAACAGGAUUAGAUACCCUGGUAGUCCAUGCCGUAAACGGUGGGCACCAGGUGUGGGUUUCUAUUAACGAAAUCCGCGCCGUCGCUAACGCAUUAAGUGCCCCGCCUGGGGAUACGGGUCGCAAGACUAAAACUCAAAAUGAAAUUGACGG
This 565-nucleotide ribosomal RNA is filed under the name uncultured bacterium. RNAcentral describes it as "bacterial SSU rRNA". It matches the Rfam family "Bacterial small subunit ribosomal RNA", at positions 338 to 916 of the family's 1533-position model. The record is from RNAcentral.